UACAGAGGUCCCAAGCGUUGUUCGGAUUCACUGGGCGUAAAGGGUGCGCAGGUGGCCAUGAAAGUCUGAUGUGGAAUCUCCGGGCUCAACCCGGAAAAUGCAUUGGAAACUACCUUGCUGGAGGAUUGGAGGGGGGACUGGAAUUCUCGGUGUAGCAGUGAAAUGCGUAGAUAUCGAGAGGAACACCAGUGGCGAAGGCGAGUCCCUGGACAAAUCCUGACACUGAGGCACGAAAGCUAGGGGAGCAAACAGG
This 253-nucleotide unclassified non-coding RNA is filed under the name uncultured Verrucomicrobiota bacterium. RNAcentral's name for it is "uncultured Verrucomicrobia bacterium contains 16S-23S intergenic spacer region". It matches the Rfam family "Bacterial small subunit ribosomal RNA", at positions 524 to 776 of the family's 1533-position model. Lineage: Bacteria; Pseudomonadati; Verrucomicrobiota. The record is from RNAcentral.